This 25-nucleotide non-coding RNA is filed under the name Mus musculus (house mouse). The record is from RNAcentral. Lineage: Eukaryota; Metazoa; Chordata; Mammalia; Rodentia; Muridae.
UGAAAGUGGUUUUGCUUUUGUUACU